GACGAACGCUGGCGGCGUGCUUAACACAUGCAAGUCGAACGGAAAGGCCCUGCUUUUGUGGGGUGCUCGAGUGGCGAACGGGUGAGUAACACGUGAGUAACCUGCCCUUGACUUUGGGAUAACUUCAGGAAACUGGGGCUAAUACCGGAUAGGAGCUCCUGCUGCAUGGUGGGGGUUGGAAAGUUUCGGCGGUUGGGGAUGGAUGCGCGGCUUAUCAGCUUGUUGGUGGGGUAGUGGCUUACCAAGGCUUUGACGGGUAGCCGGCCUGAGAGGGUGACCGGCCACAUUGGGACUGAGGUACGGACCAGACUCCUACGGGAGGCAGCAGUGGGGAAUAUUGCACAAUGGGCGGAAGCCUGAUGCAGCAACGCCGCGUGCGGGAUGACGGCCUUCGGGUUGUAAACCGCUUUCGCCUGUGACGAAGCGUGAGUGACGGUAAUGGGUAAAGAAGCACCGGCUAACUACGUG
RNAcentral lists this ribosomal RNA (468 nucleotides) under uncultured bacterium. Its description in RNAcentral is "partial 16S ribosomal RNA". It matches the Rfam family "Bacterial small subunit ribosomal RNA", at positions 28 to 507 of the family's 1533-position model. The record is from RNAcentral.